UAGUCAUAUGCUUGUCUCAAAGAUUAAGCCAUGCAUGUCUAAGUAUAAGCACAUUGUACUGCGAAACUGCGAAUGGCUCAUUAAAUCAGUUAUAAUUUAUUUGAUAGUACCUUACUACAUGGAUAACCGUGGUAAUUCUAGAGCUAAUACAUGCGACAAAUCCCGACUUCUGGAAGGGAUGUAUUUAUUAGAUAAAAAACCAAUGCGGGGCAACCCGCCUACUUGGUGAUUCAUAAUAACUUGGCGAAUCGUAUGGCUUUAUGCCGGCGAUGAUUCAU
Molecule: ribosomal RNA, 278 nt
Filed under: uncultured eukaryote
Lineage: Eukaryota
Description: partial 18S ribosomal RNA
Rfam family: Eukaryotic small subunit ribosomal RNA
Source: RNAcentral